This is a long non-coding RNA of Salvelinus sp. IW2-2015, 339 nucleotides long. RefSeq lists it as uncharacterized. Lineage: Eukaryota; Metazoa; Chordata; Actinopteri; Salmoniformes; Salmonidae. The record is from RefSeq and is a predicted model, not a curated record.
GUGAUCAGGUUGGUUCCACCAUGCUAAUCAUAACCACCAGUGAUCAUGUAAUCAGUGCUCUGUUUGUGUAUGACCGACCCGUAGCUUUGAGUGGCCAGGAGCUGUUCUACACUGCCAUACCCAUCAAUUGGGCGCUGGCAAAGGCCUCACCUCCAGCCUUACCUCUUGCCUGCUCACCAACGGUCGUCGAUGGGUAGACCAGAGUUAGAAACGUGUGUGGUGCCAGCACAUGGAGAGUUGCAAGAUGAUGUGAUGAAGUCCAGACUGACAGACGGGCUUGAUACUGAUCUCUCUAAAUGGAGAGAGACCUGGCACUCGGCAUUAAAAUUUUACUAGACA